AUAUCAGCAAGUCUGUUUAAAGCUGGUAAUAGUGAUGCCAUUUUAUGAACCUCAAGGAUAGCUGAGGUCAUUAAGGUCCCUAAAAAUGGCUACAAUA
RNAcentral lists this small nucleolar RNA (97 nucleotides) under Jaculus jaculus (lesser Egyptian jerboa). RNAcentral describes it as "Small nucleolar RNA SNORA33 (ENSJJAG00000009748.1)". The record is from RNAcentral. Lineage: Eukaryota; Metazoa; Chordata; Mammalia; Rodentia; Dipodidae.